Molecule: RNA transcript, 1063 nt
Organism: Panicum virgatum (switchgrass)
Lineage: Eukaryota; Viridiplantae; Streptophyta; Magnoliopsida; Poales; Poaceae
Gene name: magnesium transporter MRS2-A, chloroplastic-like
Exons: 6
Source: RefSeq, a predicted model, not a curated record
UGAACACAGCCAAAGCAUCGGGGAGGAGCUUGCACAGCGCGUGAUCCCGCGGUUGAUGCGCCCGCCAUGGCGUCCGUGCCGCUGUCCGCGUCGUCGCAGGCCGGCCUCCUCCUCCUCCCGCUGCCGCUCCUGCAGCCGCCCGGCGCCGGCGCAGGAGCAUGCCUGCGCUACCGCCUGCCGAGGCUGCCUCCAGCGCUCUCGAGCGUGAGGAAGGGAGGGCUCCUGCCGCUGCCGAUUCUGGCGCCGCCGCGGGCCGCGGAGGGGAAGGACGGGUGGGCCCUGACCAAGGAGGAGGUGGUGGAGGAGGACGAAGAGGAGGUGGAGGUGAGGAGGGAAGGCGAGGAGGAUGGGGGAGGAAGUGGUGAUGGUGGUGGGGCAAGGGAGGACGCGUCCAGGGGCUCGGGGCGGUUCGCCGCGGAUUACAUCUCGCUUGGCAUCAAGGAGCCCGUGUAUGAGGUGAUAGAAGUGAGAUCUACUGGGAGGAUGUCCACCAAAAAAAUAAGCCGGCGGCAGCUACUGAAAUCUAGUGGGCUCCGUUUACGUGAUACCCGAAGCGUUGACCCAUCACUAUGGUUAAUGAAUUCAAUGCCUUCCCUGCUGGUACGUGAACAAGCUAUUUUAAUCAAUCUUGGCUCCUUGCGAGCAAUUGCUAUGUACGAGCAUGUUCUUAUAUUUAACUAUAACAGGAGGGAAGGCCUUUUUAGAGCUAUUACUGCCUAGGUUAAAUCCAAGAAACAUCAAUGGUGGGCCCGCAAUGCCUUUUCAGCUUGAGGUUGUUGAAGCUGCACUUCUUUCUAGAAUACUAAGACUGGAGCAGAGACUAAUGAAGAUUGAGCCUAGUGUAAGCGCCACAUAAGUCUAUGCCAUGCCUCCUUGAGCUAUUUAUGUCAUAUACAACUCUCUCUCUCUCUCUCUCUCUCUCUCUCUCUCUCUCUCUCUCUCUCUCUCUCUCUCUCUCUCUCUUCUUGUACAAAACUGUAUAUGACGAUGUUGAUUAUCUUUUCUGCAUAUUUGAUUGAAGCACCAUCAGUAAAAAUUUCUCAGUCAAUGACUUCAAAUGUUA